GACCAUCCUCCAAGGCUAAAUACUCGUAAUCGACCGAUAGCGAACCAGUACUGUGAAGGAAAGGCGAAAAGAACCCCGGGAGGGGAGUGAAAUAGAUCCUGAAACCGCAUACAUACAAACAGUAGGAGCCCGCAAGGGUGACUGCGUACCUUUUGCAUAAUGGGUCAGCGACUUACGUUCAAUGGCAAGCUUAACCGAGUAGGGGAGGCGCAGCGAAAGCGAGUCCGAACAGGGCGACAUGAGUCGUUGGGCGUAGACCCGAAACCAGAUGAUCUAUCCAUGGCCAGGCUGAAGGUGUGGUAACACACACUGGAGGGCCGAACCGACUAGUGUUGCAAAAUUAGCGGAUGAGCUGUGGAUAGGGGUGAAAGGCUAAACAAAUCUGGAGAUAGCUGGUUCUCCCCGAAAACUAUUGAGGUAGUGCCUCGUGUAUGGCUCCAGGGGGUAGAGCACUGUUAUGGCUAGGGGGACAUGGCGUCUUACCAAACCAUGGCAAACUCCGAAUACUUGGAAGUCUGAGCACGGGAGACAGAGCACCGGGUGCUAACGUCCGGACUCAAAAGGGAAACAACCCAGACCGCCGGCUAAGGUCCCUAAUAUUGACUAAGUGGAAAACGAAGUGGGAAGGCUAAGACAGUCAGGAAGUUGGCUUAGAAGCAGCCAUCCUUCAAAGAAAGCGUAAUAGCUCACUGAUCGAGUCUUCCUGCGCGGAAGAUGUAACGGGGCUAAGUCAAUAACCGAAGCCGCGGAUUCGCAGCAAUGCGAGUGGUAGGGGAGCGUUCUGUAAGCCUGCGAAGGCGGAUCUGCGAGGACCGCUGGAGGUAUCAGAAGUGCGAAUGCUGACAUGAGUAACGUUAAAGCGGGUGAAAAGCCCGCUCGCCGCAAGCCCAAGGUUUCCUGCUCUACGUUCAUCGGAGCAGGGUGAGUCGGCCCCUAAGGUCAGGCUGAGAAGCGUAGCUGAUGGGAAGCUGGUUAAUAUUCCAGCACCGAUUUCAAGUGCGAAGGGGGGACGGAGUCCUGAAGGUCAUCCGGGUGUUGGACAUCCCGGUUUACGAGCGUAGGAGGUUGACAGGCAAAUCCGUCAACGAAUCUCCAAGGCGAAGGAUCGAGGUUGAGAGAUCAACUGAAGUGACUGAAUGGGCUUCCAGGAAAAGCCUCUAAGCAUCAGCUUGGAAUUGACCGUACCGCAAACCGACACUGGUGGGCGAGCUGAAUAUGCUCAGGCGCUUGAGAGAACUCAGGAGAAGGAACUCGGCAAAUUGACACCGUAACUUCGGGAUAAGGUGUGCCUUUGUAGUGUGAAGGGAGAAACACCCCGAGCAUGAAGAGGCCUCAGAGAAUCGGUGGCUGCAACUGUUUACUAAAAACACAGCACUCUGCAAAGAUGAAAGUCGACGUAUAGGGUGUGAUGCCUGCCCGGUGCUGGAAGAUUAAUUGAUGGGGUGCAAGCUCCUGAUCGAAGUCCCAGUAAACGGCGGCCGUAACUAUAACGGUCCUAAGGUAGCGAAAUUCCUUGUCGGGCAAGUUCCGACCUGCACGAAUGGCAUAAUGAUGGCCACACUGUCUCCUCCUGAGACUCAGUGAAGUUGAAAUGUUUGUGAUGAUGCAAUCUCCCCGCGGCUAGACGGAAAGACCCCAUGAACCUUUACUGCAGCUUUGCAUUGGACUUUGAACCGAUCUGUGUAGGAUAGGUGGGAGGCAGUGAAGCUAGGACGCCAGUCUUAGCGGAGCCAACCUUGAAAUACCACCCUGAUUUGUUUGAGGUUCUAACCUAGGAGCGUAAUCCGCUUCGGGGACCGUGCAUGGUAGGCAGUUUGACUGGGGCGGUCUCCUCCUAAAGGGUAACGGAGGAGUGCGAAGGUACGCUAGGUACGGUCGGAAAUCGUGCUGAUAGUGCAAUGGCAAAAGCGUGCUUGACUGCGAGACCGACAAGUCGAGCAGAUACGAAAGUAGGUCAUAGUGAUCCGGUGGCUCUGCAUGGAAGGGCCAUCGCUCAACGGAUAAAAGGUACUCUGGGGAUAACAGGCUGAUACCGCCCAAGAGUUCAUAUCGA
Molecule: ribosomal RNA, 2053 nt
Filed under: human gut metagenome
Description: bacterial LSU rRNA
Rfam family: Bacterial large subunit ribosomal RNA
Source: RNAcentral